This 70-nucleotide transfer RNA is filed under the name Cathartes aura (turkey vulture). Its description in RNAcentral is "tRNA-Ala". Lineage: Eukaryota; Metazoa; Chordata; Aves; Accipitriformes; Cathartidae. The record is from RNAcentral.
UAAGACCCGCAGGGUACUAACCUGCAUCUUCUGAAUGCAACCCAGAUGCUCUAAUUAAGCUAGGGCCUUA